AAACAAUUUAUGUUAGGUGUUUUUAAAUGGUAAAUUAGUUGUUUAAGCAAACAAGUUAUAUUAUUUGUUGAAACAAGGAUAUCAAUGAUGAUUUUAUUCUUGAUCUUCCUUCUCAUAUGUUGUAUACAUGAUUUAAACGGUCAAUCACGACUUUGUGACAAUGAAUAUAAACCAGGCAUCGGGCGGUUGAAGAACAGAGACCAAACAAUCAAUCAAAUAAAGUCUCAAUGUAGAGAUCAUAUCGCGACUAUCCAGCUUUACUGGUGAAAAAGGAUCUCGGAUGCCUCUCAGUACAUUAUUUCAGGCACGACCACCGCCAACGUUUCGUAAGCUAGCAUCAACAUA
Long non-coding RNA from Ruditapes philippinarum (Manila clam), 345 nucleotides. RefSeq lists it as uncharacterized. The transcript is spliced from 3 exons. The record is from RefSeq and is a predicted model, not a curated record. NCBI's taxonomy places the organism in Eukaryota, Metazoa, Mollusca, Bivalvia, Venerida, Veneridae.